UACGAAGGGGGCUAGCGUUGCUCGGAAUUACUGGGCGUAAAGCGCACGUAGGCGGAUCUUUAAGUCAGGGGUGAAAUCCUGGAGCUCAACUCCAGAACUGCCUUUGAUACUGAGGACCUUGAGUUCGGGAGAGGUGAGUGGAACUGCGAGUGUAGAGGUGAAAUUCGUAGAUAUUCGCAAGAACACCCGUGGCGAAGGCGGCUCUCUGGGACGGUACUGACGCUGAGACGCGAAAGCGUGGGGAGCGAACAGG
RNAcentral lists this ribosomal RNA (253 nucleotides) under uncultured bacterium. RNAcentral's name for it is "partial 16S ribosomal RNA". It matches the Rfam family "Bacterial small subunit ribosomal RNA", at positions 524 to 776 of the family's 1533-position model. The record is from RNAcentral.